UGACUACGUCCCUGCCCUUUGUACACACCGCCCGUCGCUCCUACCGAUUGAAUGGUCCGGUGAAGUGUUAGGAUCGUGGCGACGUGGGCGGUUCGCUGCCUGCGACGUCGCGAGAAUUCCACUGAACCUUAUCAUUUAGAGGAAGGAGAAGUCGUAACAAGGUUUCCGUAGGUGAACCUGCGGAAGGAUCAUUG
RNAcentral lists this ribosomal RNA (194 nucleotides) under Parthenium argentatum. RNAcentral's name for it is "partial 18S ribosomal RNA". It matches the Rfam family "Eukaryotic small subunit ribosomal RNA", at positions 1642 to 1831 of the family's 1831-position model. Lineage: Eukaryota; Viridiplantae; Streptophyta; Magnoliopsida; Asterales; Asteraceae. The record is from RNAcentral.